RNAcentral lists this unclassified non-coding RNA (433 nucleotides) under soil metagenome. RNAcentral's name for it is "partial contains 5.8S ribosomal RNA, internal transcribed spacer 2, and large subunit ribosomal RNA". The stretch from base 1 to 120 matches the Rfam family "5.8S ribosomal RNA", at positions 35 to 154 of the family's 154-position model. The record is from RNAcentral.
GAUGAAGAACGUAGCGAAAUGCGAUACGUAAUGUGAAUUGCAGAAUUCAGUGAAUCAUCGAAUCUUUGAACGCAUAUUGCGCUCUCUGGUAUUCCGGAGAGCAUGCUUGUUUGAGUAUCAGUAAACACCUCAACUUCCAUAUCUUUUUUUGAGAUGGGAGUUGGACUUGAGUGAUCCCAACGCUUUUCCUCACCGAAAAGUGGCGGGUUACUUGAAAUGCAGGUGCAGCUGGACUUUUCUCUGAGCUAUAAGCAUAUCUAUUUAGUCUGCCUAAAAAACAGAUUAUUACCUUUGCUGCAGCUAACAUAAAGGAGAUUAGUUCUUGUGCUGACUGAUGCAGGAUUCACAAAGACAGCUUCGGCCGACUUUGUAAACUCGAUCUCAAAUCAAGUAAGACUACCCGCUGAACUUAAGCAUAUCAAUAAGCGGAGGA